CGGUGGAGCAUGUGGUUCAAUUCGACGCAACGCGAAGAACCUUACCCAGGCUUGAACAGCGAGUGACCACUCAUGAAAGUACUCCACUGAGAGGUGUGACGAGCGCAACCCUUGUCUUCUGUUGCCAUCGGGAUGUCAAGUAGCAUGGCCUUUAUGUCUGGGCUACAUACAUGGCCGACACAACCGUCGCGAGCCCGCAAGGGGGAGCUUCGGAGAAAGUCGGUCUCAGUUCGGAUCGUCGUGCAACUCGCCGGCGUGAAGUUGGAAUCGCUAGUAAUCGGGAUCAGCACGCCGCGGUGAAUACGUUCCCGGGCCUUGUACACACCGCCGUCACAUCACGAAAGCCGGUUGUACUAGAAGCCGCCACAUCAACCCGCAAGGGAGAGAGGCGUCUAAGUAUGGUCGGUGAUUGGGGUGAAGUCGUACAAGGU
RNAcentral lists this ribosomal RNA (431 nucleotides) under uncultured Acidobacteriota bacterium. RNAcentral describes it as "bacterial SSU rRNA". It matches the Rfam family "Bacterial small subunit ribosomal RNA", at positions 930 to 1497 of the family's 1533-position model. Lineage: Bacteria; Pseudomonadati; Acidobacteriota. The record is from RNAcentral.